GUUUGGAUCUGAGUCCAGCCCUUUCCAGGUCUCAGUGUGGAUCUGAGUCCAGCCCUUUCCAGGUCUCAGUGUGGAUCUGAGUCCAGCCCAUUCCAGGUCUCAGUGUGGACCCAAUUCCAGCCCAUUCCAAGUCUCAGUGUGGAUCUGAGUCCAGCCCUUUCCAGGUUUCAGUUUGGACCCAACUCCAGCCCUUUCCGUGUCCCUGUGACUUGGUGAGGGUGGCUGACCUCACACCACCCCAAAAGCCUGCUGUAAGUGUAGAAGUGAUAAGAGCAGUCAGCUGGCUGGGAGAGGAGGGAGAAGGAUGUCGUGUGGGGAAAGUUGAGGGUCUCUGUGCCUCAACCUGCAAAUCCUGGCACUGGACAGAGCUUCCCCCUGGACAAACCUGUCUGAGAGCAAGGUAAGAUCAGCCCCAGCCUGUGGGUGAGUCACAGAGAGCCAGGACACACCUGGCAGGAUCAGCAGAGACUGUGUGGGGCCAGGAACUGCUGAAUAAUGGAAAAUGGGAAAAAAAAAGCCUUUGUUGCUUUCUCAAACAGGGCUGGAGGAAUUAUUAGCAGCAGAAGAGUGCCUGGAGCUGCAGUGCCCAGGUAGUUUUCCAGGCUGGCUGGGAGCUGGCUGUGACUCAGAAUCUGUUUGAACCCACCAGCAGGAAAAGGAGAGGGACUCUGGUUCAGUAUUAAAGAAAAUAAGCCUGACACAACUUUCUGAAGGCACUGUUACACUGAUCUGCUGUUGGCUCAGUAGGCAGGGCUGAGAUUAGCAGCACUGAAAGGAUGUGAGGACAAUGAUUGUCUUUUAAGGGAAAUUUAAACAGCCAGAAUAAAAGCUUCCCUUGAUGUCUUCCCUCCAUUCUGUCUGGGCCCUUUGAAAUCUCUUCAAAUCACUCAUGCUCCCUAGAUUAAGCCAGCAGACAGGAUUAAUCUGUAUAAAAAAAUACCCCUUUCAGGUCACUGCAGUGACAUUUCAAUCAGGAGCAGCAAUAAUGUCCCAUUUUAAAUUAAGUGCAGGUAACAAAGGUUGCUGUGCCCUCCCACAGCCAGACUUUGGAAUAAAUCUAACAUGUGCUGUGCUUUGAGUUUGGAGUCUGUUAAAGGUGCUCAGAGGGGACAGGCAGGAUCCCAGGGACAUCAAUCCAAAACUUGUACUUGUGUGAAGUGUGCUGCAGUUGGAAGAUCUGUUUUACCCCAGAACAAUUUCCUUCUUGGCAGCAAGGAGGCUCUGGCAGUGCUGUGUCUUAGGGAGAGAUCCAGCCAAAAAGCUGAAACUGCAGAUUUUUCUGAUGAGUCUGGAUAAAACGCAACAUCCAAGUGAAAGGGAAAAUCCCAGUUCCUUCUCCCAGUCCUGAGCUGGUGUCAGAAACUGUUUCACAUCCAAACUCGGGGAGAGAGCAGCAUUUGGGUCCCAGUUUUGGGGCCUGCUCCAGGAUGUGACACCGUGAUAGAUGAGCUCUCAGUGGUGUAAAUUGGGGUAGCCCCAUGAAACACCACAAUUCCAGGGAUGGCUCAAAUGCCUGGGACUUUGCUCCUGAAUCCCUGUGGCUUCUGAGUCAUCUCUGCUCUCUCCUCUGAGCUUGGCUGUGCUGGCACUGCCACUUUCCCACUCCAGCCCAGCCUGGAAUCCUCUUUCUUGACAGACUUUUACUCAACUUUUCCCAAACUUUUCCCUUCUCCAUUUUUUUGCUGAAGUCUCCUAAUUCCCCCCUUCCCUCCUGGUGCUAAAUAUGAGCUGAUUCAGUUCCAAGAAACCUGAUCUUUGUGUCCAAGUGCAAUAAACAGCCCCAGACAUGUGAGACA
This is a long non-coding RNA of Parus major (Great Tit), 1796 nucleotides long. RefSeq lists it as uncharacterized. The transcript has 2 exons. The record is from RefSeq and is a predicted model, not a curated record. Lineage: Eukaryota; Metazoa; Chordata; Aves; Passeriformes; Paridae.